GAUGAACGCUGGCGGCGUGCCUAAUACAUGCAAGUCGAGCGAACAGAUGAGGAGCUUGCUCCUCUGACGUUAGCGGCGGACGGGUGAGUAACACGUGGAUAACCUACCUAUAAGACUGGGAUAACUUCGGGAAACCGGAGCUAAUACCGGAUAAUAUUUUGAACCGCAUGGUUCAAUAGUGAAAGACAGUUUUGCUGCCACUUAUAGAUGGAUCCGCGCCGCAUUAGCUAGUUGGUAAGGUAACGGCUUACCAAGGCAACGAUGCGUAGCCGGCCUGAGAGGGUGAUCGGCCACACUGGAACUGAGACACGGUCCAGACUCCUACGGGAGGCAGCAGUAGGGAAUCUUGCGCAAUGGGCGAAAGCCUGACGCAGCAACGCCGCGUGAGUGAUGAAGGUCUUCGGAUCGUAAAACUCUGUUAUUAGGGAAGAACAAAUGUGUAAGUAAAUAUGCACGUCUUGACGGUACCUAAAGAGAAAGCCCCGGCUAACUACGUG
Molecule: ribosomal RNA, 497 nt
Filed under: uncultured bacterium
Lineage: Bacteria
Description: partial 16S ribosomal RNA
Rfam family: Bacterial small subunit ribosomal RNA
Source: RNAcentral